UUGAGUGGCGAACGGGUGAGUAACACGUGGGCAACCUGCCCAAAAGAGGGGGAGUAACACUUGGAAACGGGUGCUAAUACCGCAUAACCAUAGUUACCGCAUGGUAACUAUGUAAAAGGUGGCUAUACUACCGCUUUUGGAUGGGCCCGCGGCGCAUUAGCUAGUUGGUAGGGUAAAGGCUUACCAAGGCAAUGAUGCGUAGCCGAAUUGAGAGGUUGAUCGGCCACAUUGGGACUGAGACACGGCCCAAACUCCUACGGGAGGCAGCAG
This 270-nucleotide ribosomal RNA is filed under the name uncultured bacterium. Its description in RNAcentral is "partial 16S ribosomal RNA". It matches the Rfam family "Bacterial small subunit ribosomal RNA", at positions 91 to 354 of the family's 1533-position model. The record is from RNAcentral.